AUAGCAGGUUUCAAGAAGUAAGAUAUGCUGUAAGACUGGUAAGUCAUAAACUGCAUAUGCUUCUAAAAGCUUAGAAACCAAGUAAUUUCCCAUAUUUUCUUCUAAUUAUCUAGUUAUAGAGUUUCAUAAAUAAGGUCCUUCAAACC
Molecule: long non-coding RNA, 146 nt
Organism: Telopea speciosissima
Lineage: Eukaryota; Viridiplantae; Streptophyta; Magnoliopsida; Proteales; Proteaceae
Exons: 3
Source: RefSeq, a predicted model, not a curated record